AGGGAAUCUUCCGCAAUGGACGAAAGUCUGACGGAGCAACGCCGCGUGAGUGAAGAAGGUCUUCGGAUCGUAAAACUCUGUUGUUAGGGAAGAACAAGUGCCGUUCGAACAGGGCGGCGCCUUGACGGUACCCGGCCAGAAAGCCACGGCUAACUACGUGCCAGCAGCCGCGGUAAUACGUAGGUGGCAAGCGUUGUCCGGAAUUAUUGGGCGUAAAGCGCGCGCAGGCGGUCUUUUAAGUCUGAUGUGAAAGCCCACGGCUCAACCGUGGAGGGUCAUUGGAAACUGGAAGACUUGAGUGCAGAAGAGGAGAGUGGAAUUCCACGUGUAGCGGUGAAAUGCGUAGAGAUGUGGAGGAACACCAGUGGCGAAGGCGACUCUCUGGUCUGUAACUGACGCUGAGGCGCGAAAGCGUGGGGAGCAAAC
This 426-nucleotide ribosomal RNA is filed under the name uncultured bacterium. Its description in RNAcentral is "bacterial SSU rRNA". It matches the Rfam family "Bacterial small subunit ribosomal RNA", at positions 356 to 773 of the family's 1533-position model. The record is from RNAcentral.